UGGCGACCGGCGCACGGGUGAGUAACACGUAUCCAACCUACCCUUUACUCGGGGAUAGCCUUUCGAAAGAAAGAUUAAUACCCGAUAGCAUAAUGAUUCCGCAUGGUUUCAUUAUUAAAGGAUUCCGGUAAAGGAUGGGGAUGCGUUCCAUUAGGUUGUUGGUGGGGUAACGGCCCACCAAGCCUUCGAUGGAUAGGGGUUCUGAGAGGAAGGUCCCCCACAUUGGAACUGAGACACGGUCCAAACUCCUACGGGAGGCAGCAUG
This 265-nucleotide ribosomal RNA is filed under the name uncultured bacterium. RNAcentral's name for it is "partial 16S ribosomal RNA". It matches the Rfam family "Bacterial small subunit ribosomal RNA", at positions 89 to 353 of the family's 1533-position model. The record is from RNAcentral.